GGCCCGCCGCGCAGCCCCCGGCGCACUUCCAGCCCGGAAAGUACUUCCCGUCGCCGCUGCCCAUGGCUUCGCACACAGAAGAACUAAAUUCCGCGGAAACCUCAUUUCUGCAUUCUGCAUUCACAUCCUUAAGACAUUCUGGGGCUGGGACCACGAGGCACUUUCUGCGGGAACAAAACGGCUGUUGUGACUGGGGGGCGGGGUGGGGGGGCGCCGCGGCCUGGCGGAUUAGGGCGGUGUGCGCGCGGGGCGAGCGUUAAUAGGGACUGCCGGUGUAAGACGAGCAAAUCCUGUUUCUAUAUAAAGCCUUGAAGUGUCAGGGUGAGAAUGGGUUUGCAGGGGCUGCGUGUGCUUUCACAAGUGCCUCUGGUAUCCUGCUAAAGCCGGACAAAGCGUGGCCAGAGCGCGGCCCAGGCUGGCGGCCCGCGGCCCUGGGGGAGGGCAGCGCCGGGCGCCGGCCGGGCUGGGGGUGGCGCGGGACUGCCUCCGUAUUUCGGUGCAGGCGAGUUCGCAGCGAAUUUGCUCCAAGAGGAGGGAACUGCGGCUGCCCGGCGUUCCUGUCCUCUCGGAUCCCCUUCCGGAGAGGGCUGGUCCUUGGCAGGGCUGACCCAGGCCUCCGGAGCCACCCUAACCCUUCUGAGGUGGCUUUGAUAUUACUGUUGAGCAAGGUCAGGGGAGAAGCAGAGCCGGGCAGCCAGUAGCCGGGGGGCAGCUCCCUCUAGGAGACCCCGGGGGUCACUGGCCAGUGGCCACAGAGUUUGCAGGAAUGGUUUGGGGCUUGGUGUGGGGGCCUGCUGGUCACCCUUGAAGGCUGGCUUGCUUUUGUUUACAGUUUGUCCUAAACAUCAGAAAUGUUGUUUGCCGCCUUUUUUUGUUUGUCAGUUUGGCAGUAACAGUUAUUAUUGCUAGCUUGAUGAACUGUGAAUACUAAUAAAAUUAUAUCUGCUUUAAUGGGA
Molecule: long non-coding RNA, 956 nt
Organism: Herpailurus yagouaroundi (jaguarundi)
Lineage: Eukaryota; Metazoa; Chordata; Mammalia; Carnivora; Felidae
Exons: 2
Source: RefSeq, a predicted model, not a curated record